This 2918-nucleotide ribosomal RNA is filed under the name Klebsiella pneumoniae. Its description in RNAcentral is "23S ribosomal RNA". It matches the Rfam family "Bacterial large subunit ribosomal RNA". Lineage: Bacteria; Pseudomonadati; Pseudomonadota; Gammaproteobacteria; Enterobacterales; Enterobacteriaceae. The record is from RNAcentral.
GGGUUGUGAGGUUAAGCGACUAAGCGUACACGGUGGAUGCCCUGGCAGUCAGAGGCGAUGAAGGACGUGCUAAUCUGCGAAAAGCGUCGGUAAGGUGAUAUGAACCGUUAUAACCGGCGAUGUCCGAAUGGGGAAACCCAGUGCAAUUCGUUGCACUAUCGUUAACUGAAUACAUAGGUUAACGAGGCGAACCGGGGGAACUGAAACAUCUAAGUACCCCGAGGAAAAGAAAUCAACCGAGAUUCCCCAGUAGCGGCGAGCGAACGGGGAGCAGCCCAGAGUCUGAAUCAGCUUGUGUGUUAGUGGAACGGUCUGGAAAGUCCGACGGUACAGGGUGAUAGUCCCGUACACCAAAAUGCACAGGUUGUGAACUCGAAGAGUAGGGCGGGACACGUGGUAUCCUGUCUGAAUAUGGGGGACCAUCCUCCAAGGCUAAAUACUCCUGACUGACCGAUAGUGAACCAGUACCGUGAGGGAAAGGCGAAAAGAACCCCGGCGAGGGGAGUGAAAAAGAACCUGAAACCGUGUACGUACAAGCAGUGGGAGCACCUUCGGGUGUGACUGCGUACCUUUUGUAUAAUGGGUCAGCGACUUAUAUUCUGUAGCAAGGUUAACCGUAUAGGGGAGCCGCAGGGAAACCGAGUCUUAACUGGGCGUUAAGUUGCAGGGUAUAGACCCGAAACCCGGUGAUCUAGCCAUGGGCAGGUUGAAGGUUGGGUAACACUAACUGGAGGACCGAACCGACUAAUGUUGAAAAAUUAGCGGAUGACUUGUGGCUGGGGGUGAAAGGCCAAUCAAACCGGGAGAUAGCUGGUUCUCCCCGAAAGCUAUUUAGGUAGCGCCUCGUGAACUCAUCUUCGGGGUAGAGCACUGUUUCGGCUAGGGGGUCAUCCCGACUUACCAACCCGAUGCAAACUACGAAUACCGAAGAAUGUUAUCACGGGAGACACACGGCGGGUGCUAACGUCCGUCGUGAAGAGGGAAACAACCCAGACCGCCAGCUAAGGUCCCAAAGUCAUGGUUAAGUGGGAAACGAUGUGGGAAGGCACAGACAGCCAGGAUGUUGGCUUAGAAGCAGCCAUCAUUUAAAGAAAGCGUAAUAGCUCACUGGUCGAGUCGGCCUGCGCGGAAGAUGUAACGGGGCUAAACCAUGCACCGAAGCUGCGGCAGCGACACUAUGUGUUGUUGGGUAGGGGAGCGUUCUGUAAGCCUGCGAAGGUGUGCUGUGAGGCAUGCUGGAGGUAUCAGAAGUGCGAAUGCUGACAUAAGUAACGAUAAAGCGGGUGAAAAGCCCGCUCGCCGGAAGACCAAGGGUUCCUGUCCAACGUUAAUCGGGGCAGGGUGAGUCGACCCCUAAGGCGAGGCCGAAAGGCGUAGUCGAUGGGAAACAGGUUAAUAUUCCUGUACUUGGUGUUACUGCGAAGGGGGACGGAGAAGGCUAUGUUAGCCGGGCGACGGUUGUCCCGGUUUAAGCAUGUAGGCUGGUUAUCCAGGCAAAUCCGGAUAAUCAAGGCUGAGGUGUGAUGACGAGGCACUACGGUGCUGAAGUAACAAAUGCCCUGCUUCCAGGAAAAGCCUCUAAGCAUCAGGUAACAUCAAAUCGUACCCCAAACCGACACAGGUGGUCAGGUAGAGAAUACCAAGGCGCUUGAGAGAACUCGGGUGAAGGAACUAGGCAAAAUGGUGCCGUAACUUCGGGAGAAGGCACGCUGGUGUGUAGGUGAAGUCCCUGCGGAUGGAGCUGAGACCAGUCGAAGAUACCAGCUGGCUGCAACUGUUUAUUAAAAACACAGCACUGUGCAAACACGAAAGUGGACGUAUACGGUGUGACGCCUGCCCGGUGCCGGAAGGUUAAUUGAUGGGGUUAUCCGUAAGGAGAAGCUCUUGAUCGAAGCCCCGGUAAACGGCGGCCGUAACUAUAACGGUCCUAAGGUAGCGAAAUUCCUUGUCGGGUAAGUUCCGACCUGCACGAAUGGCGUAAUGAUGGCCAGGCUGUCUCCACCCGAGACUCAGUGAAAUUGAACUCGCUGUGAAGAUGCAGUGUACCCGCGGCAAGACGGAAAGACCCCGUGAACCUUUACUAUAGCUUGACACUGAACAUUGAGCCUUGAUGUGUAGGAUAGGUGGGAGGCUUUGAAGCGUGGACGCCAGUCUGCGUGGAGCCAACCUUGAAAUACCACCCUUUAAUGUUUGAUGUUCUAACGUUGGCCCCUGACCGGGGUUGCGGACAGUGUCUGGUGGGUAGUUUGACUGGGGCGGUCUCCUCCCAAAGCGUAACGGAGGAGCACGAAGGUUAGCUAAUCCUGGUCGGACAUCAGGAGGUUAGUGCAAUGGCAUAAGCUAGCUUGACUGCGAGCGUGACGGCGCGAGCAGGUGCGAAAGCAGGUCAUAGUGAUCCGGUGGUUCUGAAUGGAAGGGCCAUCGCUCAACGGAUAAAAGGUACUCCGGGGAUAACAGGCUGAUACCGCCCAAGAGUUCAUAUCGACGGCGGUGUUUGGCACCUCGAUGUCGGCUCAUCACAUCCUGGGGCUGAAGUAGGUCCCAAGGGUAUGGCUGUUCGCCAUUUAAAGUGGUACGCGAGCUGGGUUUAGAACGUCGUGAGACAGUUCGGUCCCUAUCUGCCGUGGGCGCUGGAGAAUUGAGGGGGCUGCUCCUAGUACGAGAGGACCGGAGUGGACGCAUCACUGGUGUUCGGGUUGUCAUGCCAAUGGCACUGCCCGGUAGCUAAAUGCGGAAGAGAUAAGUGCUGAAAGCAUCUAAGCACGAAACUUGCCCCGAGAUGAGUUCUCCCUGAGACUAUAAGUCUCCUGAAGGAACGUUAAAGACGAUGACGUUGAUAGGCCGGGUGUGUAAGCGCAGCGAUGCGUUGAGCUAACCGGUACUAAUGAACCGUGAGGCUUAACCUUACAACGCCGAAG